Molecule: ribosomal RNA, 912 nt
Filed under: Pseudomonas sp. NFPP08
Lineage: Bacteria; Pseudomonadati; Pseudomonadota; Gammaproteobacteria; Pseudomonadales; Pseudomonadaceae
Description: bacterial LSU rRNA
Rfam family: Bacterial large subunit ribosomal RNA
Source: RNAcentral
CUCCACCCGAGACUCAGUGAAAUUGAAAUCGCUGUGAAGAUGCAGUGUAUCCGCGGCUAGACGGAAAGACCCCGUGAACCUUUACUAUAGCUUUGCACUGGACUUUGAAUUUGCUUGUGUAGGAUAGGUGGGAGGCUUUGAAGCGUGAACGCCAGUUUGCGUGGAGCCAUCCUUGAAAUACCACCCUGGCAACUUUGAGGUUCUAACUCAGGUCCGUUAUCCGGAUCGAGGACAGUGUAUGGUGGGUAGUUUGACUGGGGCGGUCUCCUCCUAAAGAGUAACGGAGGAGUACGAAGGUGCGCUCAGACCGGUCGGAAAUCGGUCGUAGAGUAUAAAGGCAAAAGCGCGCUUGACUGCGAGACAGACACGUCGAGCAGGUACGAAAGUAGGUCUUAGUGAUCCGGUGGUUCUGUAUGGAAGGGCCAUCGCUCAACGGAUAAAAGGUACUCCGGGGAUAACAGGCUGAUACCGCCCAAGAGUUCAUAUCGACGGCGGUGUUUGGCACCUCGAUGUCGGCUCAUCACAUCCUGGGGCUGAAGCCGGUCCCAAGGGUAUGGCUGUUCGCCAUUUAAAGUGGUACGCGAGCUGGGUUUAGAACGUCGUGAGACAGUUCGGUCCCUAUCUGCCGUGGACGUUUGAGAUUUGAGAGGGGCUGCUCCUAGUACGAGAGGACCGGAGUGGACGAACCUCUGGUGUUCCGGUUGUCACGCCAGUGGCAUUGCCGGGUAGCUAUGUUCGGAAAAGAUAACCGCUGAAAGCAUCUAAGCGGGAAACUUGCCUCAAGAUGAGAUCUCACUGGGAUCUUGAAUCCCCUAAAGGGCCGUCGAAGACUACGACGUUGAUAGGUUGGGUGUGUAAGCGCUGUGAGGCGUUGAGCUAACCAAUACUAAUUGCCCGUGAGGCUUGACCAUA